RNAcentral lists this ribosomal RNA (480 nucleotides) under uncultured bacterium. RNAcentral describes it as "partial 16S ribosomal RNA". It matches the Rfam family "Bacterial small subunit ribosomal RNA", at positions 28 to 523 of the family's 1533-position model. The record is from RNAcentral.
GACGAAUGCUGGCGGCGUGCUUAACACAUGCAAGUCGAACGGUGAAGGGGAGCUUGCUCCCUGGAUCAGUGGCGAACGGGUGAGUAACACGUGGGUAACCUGCCCCUCACUUCGGGAUAACCAUCCGAAAGGAUGGCUAAUACCGGAUACGAAGCCUGGAGGCAUCUCCGGGUUUGGAAAUUUUUCGGUGAGGGAUGGACCCGCGGCCUAUCAGCUUGUUGGUGAGGUAAUGGCUCACCAAGGCGAAGACGGGUAGCCGGCCUGAGAGGGCGACCGGCCACACUGGGACUGAGACACGGCCCAGACUCCUACGGGAGGCAGCAGUGGGGAAUAUUGCACAAUGGGCGAAAGCCUGAUGCAGCGACGCCGCGUGAGGAAUGAAGGCCUUCGGGUUGUAAACCUCUUUCAGUAGGGACGAAGCGCAAGUGACGGUACCUAAAGAAGAAGCACCGGCUAACUACGUGCCAGCCGCCGCAGUAA